GCCGGCGUAGUCCAACGGCAGAGACCCGGACCUUAGGAGUCCGCCAGUGUGGGUUCGAAUCCCACCGCCGGCA
RNAcentral lists this transfer RNA (73 nucleotides) under Actinomycetota bacterium. Its description in RNAcentral is "tRNA-Leu". It matches the Rfam family "tRNA". Rfam says of the family: Transfer RNA (tRNA) molecules are approximately 80 nucleotides in length. The record is from RNAcentral. Lineage: Bacteria; Bacillati; Actinomycetota.